RNAcentral lists this unclassified non-coding RNA (377 nucleotides) under uncultured Actinomycetes bacterium. Its description in RNAcentral is "uncultured actinobacterium contains 16S-23S intergenic spacer region". Lineage: Bacteria; Bacillati; Actinomycetota; Actinomycetes. The record is from RNAcentral.
UCCGAGUUGACCCCGGCAGUCUCUCACGAGUCCCCGCCAUUACGCGCUGGCAACAUAAGAUAAGGGUUGCGCUCGUUGCGGGACUUAACCCAACAUCUCACGACACGAGCUGACGACAGCCAUGCACCACCUGUACACCGACCACAAGGGGGACCGUGUCUCCACGGUUUUCCGGUGUAUGUCAAGCCUUGGUAAGGUUCUUCGCGUUGCGUCGAAUUAAAGAACAUGCUCCGCUGCUUGUGCGGGCCCCCGUCAAUUCUUUUGAGUUUUAGCCUUGCGGCCGUACUCCCCAGGCGGGACACUUAACGCGUUAGCUGCGGCACGGAGGGAUUCGACUCCCCCCACACCUAGUGUUCAUCGUUUACGGCUAGGACUAC